Molecule: non-coding RNA, 1026 nt
Organism: Kogia breviceps (pygmy sperm whale)
Lineage: Eukaryota; Metazoa; Chordata; Mammalia; Artiodactyla; Physeteridae
Source: RefSeq, a predicted model, not a curated record
UGGACCUCUCCCAGCGGCUGGCUCCUAGGCAUCCUCUCCUCCAGGUGCCCCGCUGUGACCUACGGAGCUGCAGACAGACGCCAAGACAGGUGUACCAUGAACAUCUCUUCCAUGCACGUGGGUGAAAAUCCCCUACUGAAACACAGAGAGCACUGUAGUUGGAUCAAAAGCCUGCUGGUAACGAGAGUGACACCUAAAGCAAAGUAUCAGCUUAAGGUUAAAGCACAUAGCCUGGCAAAUGCCUGCCAGGGAAAGCAGGGUCAGCGAUAUUCUCAUCAGAGGAGUCAGAAUUGAAGGCCAAAGGCAUUAAAGAUAUGGGAUAUCAUCUCUUCCUGAGCCCUUGACAUAUCUGCACAUUCUCUCAUCAUCUCCUCACUGCCCAGAUGCCUUUCCUUUGUGACAGCUGAUCACAGGGAGGGUACCUGACUUUGCCAAGAGCGCUCCACACGGAGCCCCAUAGCCCGCUUUCAAGACCAGCUCCGUCUGACUCCAGAGCCCCGGUGGUGGUGCCCGCCAGGAAGCUGUGCUGCCUCCUUGAGUAGCAGCUAUGUCCUGAGCCUCUGCUCUUCUCAGUCCAUGUGUUCUCGCUCCCUGGCUGAUCUCUGUUCAUUUCCCUCUAAACACAGAUGAUUUCCAAAUCUACAUAUCCAGGUUAUUCCCUCCCUUGAGUCUCAGACCCAUUUUUGCUUUCCCACCAGCAGUAUAGGAGAGUGCUUAUUUCCCCACACCCUUUCCAACAUAGUGUGUGACAUACUUUCUAUUUUUCACUAAUAUGAUAGGUGAGAAGUAUUAUAUCAAUGGCAUUUUAUUUUGCAUUUCUGUUUAACAACAGUUUAAAUAUCAUUGUGAAUUGUCUGUUCAUGUCUUUUCCACAUUUUUCUAUUGGGUUGUUGGUCCUUCACACUUUUCAAGUGUUCUUUACACAUUAACUAUAUUAGGCCUUUAUCUGUUAUAUAAGUUGCAAAUAUUUGCUUCCAGUUUGUUAGUUGCCUUUUGACUUUAUGAUGUAUUUCUGCCAUGCAUUAA